AACGAACGCUGGCGGCAGGCCUAACACAUGCAAGUCGAACGGAUCCUACGGGAUUAGUGGCGGACGGGUGAGUAACGCGUGGGAACAUAUCCAAAGGUAAGGAAUAGCCUCGGGAAACUGGGAGUAAUACCGUAUGUGCUCGAAAGAGGAAAGAUUUAUCGCCUUUGGAUUGGCCCGCGUUGGAUUAGGUAGUUGGUGGGGUAAUGGCCUACCAAGCCGACGAUCCAUAGCUGGUUUGAGAGGAUGAUCAGCCACACUGGGACUGAGACACGGCCCAGACUCCUACGGGAGGCAGCAGUGGGGAAUCUUAGACAAUGGGGGAAACCCUGAUCUAGCCAUGCCGCGUGAUCGAUGAAGGCCUUAGGGUCGUAAAGAUCUUUCAGGUGGGAAGAUAAUGACUGUACCACCAGAAGAAGCCCCGGCUAACUCCGUGCCAGCCGCCGCGGUAA
RNAcentral lists this ribosomal RNA (449 nucleotides) under uncultured bacterium. Its description in RNAcentral is "partial 16S ribosomal RNA". It matches the Rfam family "Bacterial small subunit ribosomal RNA", at positions 29 to 523 of the family's 1533-position model. The record is from RNAcentral.